GAGUUUGAUCGUGGCUCAGGACGAACGCUGGCGGCGUGCUUAACACAUGCAAGUCGAACGGUGACGACGGAGCUUGCUCUGUCUGAUCAGUGGCGAACGGGUGAGUAACACGUGAGUAACCUGCCCCCGACUCUGGAAUAACCGUGGGAAACGACGGCUAAUACCGGAUAUGAGACGCACCAGGCAUCUGUGUGUCUGGAAAGAUUUAUCGGGUCAGGGAUGGACUCGCGGCCUAUCAGCUUGUUGGUGGGUAAUGGCCCACCAAGGCGACGACGGGUAGCCGGCCUGAGAGGGCGACCGGCCACACUGGGACUAAGAUACGGCCCAGACUCCUACGGGAGGCAGCAGUGGGGAAUAUUGCACAAUGGGCGCAAGCCUGAUGCAGCGACGCCGCGUGAGGGAUGAAGGCC
Molecule: ribosomal RNA, 410 nt
Filed under: uncultured bacterium
Lineage: Bacteria
Description: bacterial SSU rRNA
Rfam family: Bacterial small subunit ribosomal RNA
Source: RNAcentral